AUCCAGGUGACGAGUCCCAAACAGGACGAAAUGUGCAUCCUGGAU
Molecule: non-coding RNA, 45 nt
Filed under: Trichobilharzia regenti
Lineage: Eukaryota; Metazoa; Platyhelminthes; Trematoda; Strigeidida; Schistosomatidae
Source: RNAcentral